Molecule: ribosomal RNA, 549 nt
Filed under: uncultured Glomus
Lineage: Eukaryota; Fungi; Glomeromycota; Glomeromycetes; Glomerales; Glomeraceae
Description: SSU rRNA
Rfam family: Eukaryotic small subunit ribosomal RNA
Source: RNAcentral
UUGGAGGGCAAGUCUGGUGCCAGCAGCCGCGGUAAUUCCAGCUCCAAUAGCGUAUAUUAAAGUUGUUGCAGUUAAAAAGCUCGUAGUUGAAUUUCGGGGUCAGUAGAUUGGUCGUGCCACUGGUACGUACUGGUCUUACUGGUUCCUCCCUCCUGAUGAACUGUAAUGCCAUUAAUUUGGUGUUGCAGGGAAUCUGGACUGUUACUUUGAAAAAAUUAGAGUGUUUAAAGCAGGCUAACGCUUGAAUACAUUAGCAUGGAAUAAUGAAAUAGGACGCUCGAUCCUAUUUUGUUGGUUUCUAGGAUUGACGUAAUGAUUAAUAGGGAUAGUUGGGGGCAUUAGUAUUCAAUUGUCAGAGGUGAAAUUCUUGGAUUUAUUGAAGACUAACUACUGCGAAAGCAUUUGCCAAGGAUGUUUUCAUUAAUCAAGAACGAAAGUUAGGGGAUCGAAGACGAUCAGAUACCGUCGUAGUCUUAACCAUAAACUAUGCCGACUAGGGAUCGGAUGAUGUUAAUUUUUUAAUGACUCAUUCGGCACCUUACGGGAAAC